Molecule: ribosomal RNA, 777 nt
Filed under: uncultured Neocallimastigales
Lineage: Eukaryota; Fungi; Neocallimastigomycota; Neocallimastigomycetes; Neocallimastigales
Description: partial large subunit ribosomal RNA
Rfam family: Eukaryotic large subunit ribosomal RNA
Source: RNAcentral
CUAUACAUGACUCUGUGCAUAUCAAUAAGCGGAGGAAAAGAAACUAACAAGGAUUCCCCUUAGUAACGGCGAGUGAAGCGGGAAGAGCUCAAAUUUGAAAUCUUCAAGGGUUUACCUUUACGAAUUGUAGUUUAAAGAAGUGUUUUCUGCUGAAGUUUUGGUAAAAGUUCUUUGGAAUAGGACAUCAUAGAGGGUGAGAAUCCCGUAUUUGACCAUUUACUUUUCAGCUUUGUGAUACACUUUCAAAGAGUCGGAUUGUUUGGGAAUGCAGUCCAAAAUGGGUGGUAAAUUUCAUCUAAAGCUAAAUAUUGGCGAGAGACCGAUAGCGAACAAGUACCGUGAGGGAAAGAUGAAAAGAACUUUGAAAAGAGAGUUAAACAGUACGUGAAAUUGUCAAAAGGGAAGCGUUUGACACCAGUGUUGUUUUUCUGAAAAUCAAUUAAAGAACUGUUUAUGCUAAGUUGUUUAGACUUUAUCAGCUAACUGUUUAGUUUUGAGCUUUUCUUUAAUGCACUUUUCAGUUAACAAGUCAACAUCAAUUUCUUUUGCUGUAAAAAAGCUUGAGGAAGGUGGCUUGAGAUUCGUCUUAAGUGUUUAUAGCCUCUUGCCUAUGCAGUCGGAGAGAUUGAGGUCUGCAGCGUAGAUCCUUCGGGGCUAAAUGCAUUUGUGCUAAGUUAUAGCAUUUUAUAGACAACUUGUUGACUAUGAUUUGUCUUGUAGCUUACUCGCUUAUGUUAUUUUACCUACGCUUAGGAUGUUGACAGCAGUAUAGACUGU